This 466-nucleotide ribosomal RNA is filed under the name uncultured bacterium. RNAcentral's name for it is "partial 16S ribosomal RNA". It matches the Rfam family "Bacterial small subunit ribosomal RNA", at positions 28 to 507 of the family's 1533-position model. The record is from RNAcentral.
GAUGAACGCUGGCGGCGUGCUUAACACAUGCAAGUCGAACAAUGAAGCCCAGCUUGCUGGGUGGAUUAGUGGCGAACGGGUGAGUAACACGUGAGUAACCUGCCCUUAACUCUGGGAUAAGCCUGGGAAACUGGGUCUAAUACCGGAUAGGAGCGUCCACCGCAUGGUGGGUGUUGGAAAGAUUUAUCGGUUUUGGAUGGACUCGCGGCCUAUCAGCUUGUUGGUGAGGUAAUGGCUCACCAAGGCGACGACGGGUAGCCGGCCUGAGAGGGUGACCGGCCACACUGGGACUGCGACACGGCCCAGACUCCUACGGGAGGCAGCAGUGGGGAAUAUUGCACAAUGGGCGCAAGCCUGAUGCAGCGACGCCGCGUGAGGGAUGACGGCCUUCGGGUUGUAAACCUCUUUCAGUAGGGAAGAAGCGAAAGUGACGGUACCUGCAGAAGAAGCACCGGCUAACUACGUG